GUGCUUUAUGAGCAUUAUCUGAUUUGAUUCUAUGAAAAACUGCUGUAUGAAGUAGCUACUAUUAUUAGCCCCAUUUAAUAGGUGAUAUAUACUUAGGCUUGGAGAGGUUCAUUUGCUCAAGGUCACACAACCAAUAAAUGGAAAGCUGGAAUUCCACCCAGAUUGGCUGACACCAAUGCCCAUGGUAUUAACCACAAUAAGUCAUGGCUCUAUCAUGAAUUAGUUUUAUUGUAUUCCUUUUUGCUGUGAUUUCCUCACUUAUGCAUAGUAAAUCACACCCAUGUAUGCCUCAUAGGACUGCUGAGAUGAUUGAUUCAGGUUAGGUAUUUGAGAAAGUGCAUGUUAUGUAUUUGUCUAAAAUGAAAGUGCUUUGUAAAAGUGUCCACAUAUCUAAUUUACUGUGUCAGGUUAUAUUACCAGCCAGCUGUGUCAUCUUGGGCAAAUCUCUUAGAUCCACUGGCUUCUAGUCCCCACCUGGAAAUUAAUGGUAUUGAAACAGAUGAUCACUAGGUCCUUUCCCCCCACAAAUGAUUCCAAGUUCAUUAAAAGAAAAGCUAUAAUCAUGAGAUCAUAGUAGGACCAUGAGGAAGUGUGGAAUUGAAUUAGAAGGGACAUGGCAAAGUGGGGCAUGAAAAAUUAGCAGGGGAAUAAUUCCAUGGUAAACAUGACUGCAGAGAGCAAGAGCCUGGGGAGUUUUCUCCCUCUAACUCUUUUCCCUUUUAAGUGGGAAGUGUUUCUUAAAAUAUUUUUUACUUUAUUUUUUUAAAAAAGAUUUUUUUUUUCCUUUUUCUCCCCAAAGACCCCCCCCCCAGUGCAUAUUUGUAUAUUUUUCGUUGUGGGUCCUUCUAGUUGUGGCAUGUGGGACACUGCCUCAGCGUAGUUUGAUGAGCAGUGCCAUGUCCGCACCCAGGAUUCGAACCAACGAAACGCUGGGCCGCCUGCAGCGGAGCGUGAGAACUUAACCACUCGGCCACGGGGCCAGCCCCUACUUUAUUUUUUUUAAUUGCGGCAACAUUGGUUUAUAACAAGUGGGAAGUGUUUUGUUUUGCUUUUCUCUUCCUCCCUCGGUGUGGGGCCCUGCCCGUCUUCCUGUUCUGCACUCGCCUCCAAGCUCUCUGUAUUGGGGUGGGCCAGACACCUGUAACAAAUUGGACUGCGCAGAUCAUGUCUUAAACACAGGAUUUCAUUUCCAUCUCAUGCAACAGGCCAGGGUGUAUGUUCCCGGUCAGACAGAGGAGGAGGAGGGGAUGGUAAGGAAGAUCUGUUCCGUUCAGUCUCGCAGGGACCCAGGCUAGUGGGGCUCUGCCGUCUCCAGCACAUGGCUUCCAAGGUCUACCUGUCACCUUAAUGUGGCUGGCUGAAUAACGGCCCCCGAGAAUGUCCAUUCGGCAAUCGUCAGAACACGUGAAUAUUACCUUAUAUGGAAAAAGGGACUCUGGAGAUUCUCCUGGAUUAUCCGGUUGGGUCCUGAGUGUGAUCACAAGGUCCCCACAACAGGGAGGCAGUGAGAGAUUCCACCACAGAGAGGAGUAGAUGUGACAACACAAGCCUGUUAUUCUCAGUGACUCGAGCAAGAGGCCCCGAGGCACGGAAUGCAGACUUCCGGCCUCCAGAACUGUAAGUAUCUGCAUUUUUUCAGCCACAACCUUGGUUGUAAUUUGUCUCAGCAGCAACGGGCACGGAUCCAUCUUUGCCGUCAUCCCAACCUAUGGUAAGGGGGAAGCCGUGCGGGCGUUUUUACGGGCCAGAAAGCGGUGCAUAUCCUCCUCUCUGAUGUUCCAUUGUGAGAUCCUGGCUAUGUGGCCGCACCCGUCACCUAGAGAAGCUGGGAGAUGUGGAGCUGGGCAGCCAGAGGCCCAGUGAGUCCAGAAGGAGGGCAGGGGAUCCACUCUCUGCCACACCGAGUUAUCCCGCCCUGCGUGGUGGUGUGGAUGCCACAGCGGCUGGCCCGCUGGGGUCCUGUGUGGGCUGGGCAGGUUGUCCUCACUGCAUUUGCCUUUUCGGCUCCUUGGACCAGGGUGGGCGCCCCAGGCCCAGCAGGCCUACAGCCUCAGUCCCCCACGUCACAUUUCUAUUCACUUCCGGUCCACAGAGACAUUCAACUUGUUUUUGAGCACGGCUAAACCUUUUCGCUUUCCAAAUUUGACGUUGUAUCUGUCAUGCUACUUGGCCAGCCAGUCUCUGCCACACACUCUCCUGACACGGUGUGUCAAAGGGGAGACGGGCGCCGCCUUUUGCCUUUUCGCCGGAUGUGACUCUGAAGCAGUCUGUUCUCCAUAGAGAGGCUGGAUGGAUCUGGGUGUCACAAAACGCUCACGCCACCCUCCCGCUGAAAGCCCCAGUGAGCUCUGGCUGUCCUCAUUUGUGAACGCGGGAGCAACAAUACCCACCUCACAGAGAGAAAGUAAUGAGUGGCUGCUUGCGGGAGCAGGGGAGCGGGGCACAGGGGUUGACUGCUAACAAGGUGGGCUUCUUUGUGGGGGGAUGAAAAUGUUCUAAAAUUAGGUCG
Molecule: long non-coding RNA, 2509 nt
Organism: Equus caballus (horse)
Lineage: Eukaryota; Metazoa; Chordata; Mammalia; Perissodactyla; Equidae
Source: Ensembl